CAAACACUCUUCUCCCACCCCUCCUUUCUCCUCCUCAUUUAGGGAUCUAGGAAUGAUGUGACCAUGUUUACUUUCAUUGUUUUAACUAUACUCAAAUGAAUAGUAGAAAGACAGUGGUAUUUGGUGCCAAAGCCCUGCCAUGUUUUGCUGUGUGAACUUGGAUAAAUCAGUUAACCUCUCUGAACCUCCCUUUUCCCAUCAACAAAAGGUAUUCUCCAUUUUACAGAAUGGCUUUUGGCAGUUACGCACAUGUAGAAGUUCCUAGCUCAGUCAAUAUUAGUAUCUCUUCUUUUUUUAUUCUUUAUUGGACAACUCCACCCCUACCCCUAUCCCUGACUAAGUUCUCCAGGUACCGACCCUGGUCUUACCAGGCUACAAGGUCUAAAAAUCCUGGACAGCCCCCUUGAGACAAUGGUCAUGAGCCACAUACAUUUCUCCCCAAAUAUACAUGAAUGUUCACUGUAGGCUUGUUUGAAAAAACAAAACUGGAAUCAAAUCUGUGUCCAAGGCUGGGUGCAGUGGCUCAUGCCUGUAAUCCUAGCACUCUGGGAGGCCAAGGUAGGAGGACUGCUUAAGGCCAGGAGUUCAAGACCUGCCUGGGCAACAUGGUGAGACCCCAUCUCUACAAAAAAUAAAAAAUUUGGCCAGGUGCAGUGACUCACGUCUGUAAUUCCAGCACUUUAGGAGGCUGAGGUGGGUGGAUCGCUUGAGCCGGGAGCUUGAGACCAGCCUGGGCAACGUAGUGAUACUCUGUCUUUAUAAAAAGUAUGAAAAAUUAACUGGUGGUGUGCACCUAUAGUCCUAGCUACUUGGGAGGCUGAGUGCGAGGAUUCCUGGAGCCCAAGAGUUCAAGGUACAGUGAGCUAUGAUCACACCACUGCACUCCAGCUGGGUGACAGAGCAAGACCCCAUCUUUAAAUUAAAAAAAAAAAAAAAAGGCCCAGCACGGUCGUUCACGCCUGUAAUCCAGCACUUUGGGAGGUUGGGGUAGGUGGAUCACCUGAGGUCAGGAGUUCAAGACCAGCCUGGCCAAUGUACCGAAAUCCCAUCUCUACUAAAAAUACAAAAAUUAGCUGGAUGUGGUGGUGCACACCUGUAAUCCAGCUAUUCAGAGGCUGAGGCAGGAGAAUCGCUUGAACCCGGGAGGUGCAGGUUGCAGUGAGCCGAGAUAGUGCCAUUGCACUCCAGUCUGGGCAACAGAGCAACACUCCAUCUCAAAAAAAAAAAAAAAAAGAAUGAGGCAACUUUAUGCACACUGAUAUGGACAUACAACUUAUUAGAGCAAGGUGUACAGAUGUGUGUGCAGCACAGCAAUAACUGUGUAAAAUGAGGAAAUUAUAAAUCCAAAAUUAUUUCAACAUAAAACUUUUUUAAAAGAUGUGGGGGGGCCGGGUGCAGUGGCUCACACCUGUAAUCCCAGCAUUUGGAAGGCCCAGGCAGGUGGUCACGAGAUAAGGAAUUCGAGACCAGCCUGGCCAGCAUGGUGAAAA
RNAcentral lists this long non-coding RNA (1490 nucleotides) under Macaca mulatta (Rhesus monkey). RNAcentral's name for it is "lncRNA (ENSMMUG00000053892.1)". The record is from RNAcentral. Lineage: Eukaryota; Metazoa; Chordata; Mammalia; Primates; Cercopithecidae.